UUUGAUGUGAAUUGAUUUAUGUUUGGAUACACUUUUUUAAAAAUGAUUUUUAUGAGUUGAUGUUGUUUGGAUAG
This 74-nucleotide microRNA precursor is filed under the name Medicago truncatula (barrel medic). Its description in RNAcentral is "MIR5272 microRNA precursor family". It matches the Rfam family "MIR5272 microRNA precursor family". The record is from Rfam by way of RNAcentral. Lineage: Eukaryota; Viridiplantae; Streptophyta; Magnoliopsida; Fabales; Fabaceae.